GGAGCUCACGGGGCCCCAGCUCGCGCUCGCUGCCCGGGGAUCCCGCGCAAGGACAGCUGCGUGGCGGUUUCGGGUCUUGUCGAGCCCUUGACCUCGAAGGGCGUCUGUGGGUGCGCGGGGCUGGAGCCGGGCGGGCUCCUGUACUCCCCGCCCGGAUCUAGAUUCCCGCAAGGCCGCCGGCGUGGGCCUGAACUUGGGGUCCUAUUCAGUACUCGCGCCAAGUCCAGCGGGAGCCCAGUCUCCUCGGUUUUUGAGCGAGCGGGGACUUUGAGGACGCACACGGUCAGCCAGGUCUCCUGGCUACCAGUCGCCACCCUUGGGUGGGGCUUUCACAAGACUGCUAAAGAGCCUCAGGCGCCAAAAAUUGGAGAAGUGCGGGAGUGACCCAAGUCGCGGCGCUGUGUCUUCUUCCCAGUGCCCACAGCCCACCAGCUCCUCACUCAGCCUCGCCGGCAGCUUUGGUCGCCUGGCAGUCACCUCAGUCCCGGAACUAAGCAGGCAGCACGCAGCGGUAUCUGGGUCUGCGAACGCCUCUGGUUCGCGGGAUUCCCCACUUCCACGGACCUGAGUGCGCUGAGUCCUCCGCUGGACUUGUCCACGUCCGGACCAUGGCCCUUUGCUGCUGUCCUGCCUUCCAGCACACGCUGAACUCAGGAUAGGAGCAGUGCAUGACCUGAAAUCAGUCAGGUCCUCCUCACCACCUCAAGACUGUGUGAGAAGCCGGACAUGGUUGUGCAGGCCUGUGAUCCCAGCCCUCGGGAGACUGAGGCAGGAGAAUUGUUGCCAGUUUGAGACCAGCCUGGGCUACAAGUGAGCUCAAGGCCAGCCUGGACUGCAUAAUGAGACCUUAUCUCAAAAAAAAUUUUUUUUUUUGAUGCCGGGGAUUGAACUCAUGAUUCAUACUUGCCAGGCAGGCACUUAUACCGCUGAGUUAAAUCCCCAGCCCUUGAAAUUUUAAAAAUUAAAAAAAAAAAAUGUG
This is a long non-coding RNA of Cavia porcellus (domestic guinea pig), 979 nucleotides long. RefSeq lists it as uncharacterized. The record is from RefSeq and is a predicted model, not a curated record. Lineage: Eukaryota; Metazoa; Chordata; Mammalia; Rodentia; Caviidae. The transcript has 2 exons.